Molecule: long non-coding RNA, 1850 nt
Organism: Choloepus didactylus (southern two-toed sloth)
Lineage: Eukaryota; Metazoa; Chordata; Mammalia; Pilosa; Megalonychidae
Exons: 4
Source: RefSeq, a predicted model, not a curated record
GCUUUCCCACCACUGAACACAAUUUUACUCCAAGAGCACCCUCUGCUGGAUUGGUGCAGGACCCAGUGGUCUCAGCCAUCUUGGAAGUGGCCCCAACAGGAACUCUGAACGGGUGAAAAGGAAGACUGGAGUUUCCUUGCGAGUUGGGUUCCCACUCAGAGAAGCCCUGAGCUAUCAUUGUUUAAAUACUAGCCCCCAAAUAAGAUGGAUCCAGCCCCUCUCCAUUUCUCAUUCUAUUUCAGUUUCAUUCUUUGCCUCAUCCUGCUGCUCAGCAUUUAGGGAAAGAAUUCACAGUGGUGUCUCCAGCCUUAAAGAUCAUCUUGCGGUAAAGAAAAUAAAAUUUAAAGAGUGGACCUGUGGUCUAGCGACAUGGGCAGAAAAUCAAGGAUUCUACCUUCUUCUUGAGGCCUAAUUGGUGGGUUGUAAAGGAAAUUCCACAACCACCUCUCAUUGGACUGACACGGGGAUGUGCCCAUCUCUGAAGGCUUGCAAAGUUUAUCUGCUGCUUGGCUGCGCCUGGUCUAUCCCACUCCUAGGGUCUAGACAAGUUCCUCCUAACUCACAUGGAUUGGUGGUGGGACGAAGAGUGAGACACUGGUGCUGCAAUAUGGGAAAGUAGGUGCUGGAAAGGCCCCAGCAUCCAUCAUAGCAGCCUUAUCAACGAGAGCUAAAAGGACAAACACUUGAUGUGAGGUGAUUUGGCGAUGACUCAGAAUCACCGUCUUAUGCAUAUGAGACCAGAAAUAGCAAAUCAGAAGAGGAGAGAGGGCUGCCAGAGGCAGAUCCACUGAAAAUGGAGAAAAGUACAAGGUUGGAGUGUGGAGUCAAGCAGCCCUUUAAACCUAGAGAGUCUUCUAGAAUGUCAUGAUACUUCAAAGGUAGGCUACCCAAGGGAGACAGAGAAACGAAAACUCAGAAAAUACCAUAGGCUCGUGUAUAGUGGCAUGAACAGAUGAGCAACCUCAGAAGUAAAAUGGAAAGGGCCAGCCUGGCAACCCCCGGAGGACAGCCUGCAAGGACGCUCCGUUCCUGCUCAACGACCCUUACAAAACGGCAUCUUUUUAAAGACUUAUGGAGAUGUUAGAGGUUGAUUAUAGAAAGGUGAUGGAUAAUGAAUUAAUUCAAGAAUUAAUAUAAUAUUAACAUUAUUAUAAUUCAGCUUUUAAGUUUUAAAAUAAAAAUAAAACCCCCGUAUUUUAGAGAAUAGCUGAAGCAGAAUCCAAAAGAAGCUCUGUCAGAAGCUGCUUUUCCUUUCAACUCUAUAGUCUUCUUUCCCCACCUCCAUAGCCGGCCCCCAUCCCCAGGCAAUGGCAGAGUCCUGAGAGAACUCCUUGCUGUGGAUGAAGCCCAUUUUGCCUGUGUUCAAGUUUGUUACCGCAUUAUUCCAUCUGGUGGUUCCCCAAACCACUUUCCUUUUUCGCUCUCCUUGUAAAUAUUUACUUAAGAAAGUUCUUGCAAUGGCAGGAUCCUAUAUUGGUGGCUUGGAACAAAGCAAAGAGUCUUGAUGUGUUUUAUUCCCUUUACUAACAAUUUGGUUAAGUGGAUUCCCUCCCAGCUCAUUAAAAAAAAAAUCCUUUCAUUUUAAUAACAUCAUCAGAAACUAAAUAGCAUCAGAGGGAAAAAUAAGUUUGCAAUGUACAGCCUCCAGUGGCAAUCUCUAGGCGCUCAGUAGCUGUUAAUGGUUGAAGCAAGAACUGGUGAUUUUCUUUAAUGGCUGGAAUUCAGUGUACAUUUUAAGGCCUCAUAUCCCUGGGCAGGGCGAGGAUCUGUGGGGCUUUUUUUGUUUAUUUGUUUGUUGGUUUUCUGGGGCGACUGGGUGGAUACAAGAUCAGAUAGCUGGGUCCGAAGCU